This 254-nucleotide ribosomal RNA is filed under the name uncultured bacterium. RNAcentral's name for it is "partial 16S ribosomal RNA". It matches the Rfam family "Bacterial small subunit ribosomal RNA", at positions 524 to 776 of the family's 1533-position model. The record is from RNAcentral.
UACGGAGGGUGCAAGCGUUAUCCGGAAUCACUGGGUUUAAAGGGUGCGUAGGCGGCGUCGAAAGUCAGUCUUGAAAUCGCUGGGCUUAACCCAUGCAAUUGGGAUUGAUACUACGGUGCUUGAAUCAGGUUGAGGUUGGCGGAAUGUGACAUGUAGCGGUGAAAUGCAUAGAUAUGUCAUAGAACACCGAUUGCGAAGGCAGCUGGCUGGGCCUUGAUUGACGCUGAGGCACGAAAGCGUGGGGAGCAAACAGG